CAGUAGCCACGGUAAAACGAGGGGAGCUAGCGUUGUUCGGAAUUACUGGGCGUAAAGCGCGCGUAGGCGGCUUUUUAAGUCAGAGGUGAAAGCCCGGGGCUCAACCCCGGAAUUGCCUUUGAAACUGGAAAGCUAGAAUCUUGGAGAGGUCAGUGGAAUUCCGAGUGUAGAGGUGAAAUUCGUAGAUAUUCGGAAGAACACCAGUGGCGAAGGCGACUGACUGGACAAGUAUUGACGCUGAGGUGCGAAAGCGUGGGGAGCAAACAGGAUUAGAUACCCCGGUAGUCCCUGUCUCUUAUAC
RNAcentral lists this ribosomal RNA (301 nucleotides) under uncultured bacterium. RNAcentral describes it as "partial 16S ribosomal RNA". It matches the Rfam family "Bacterial small subunit ribosomal RNA", at positions 509 to 807 of the family's 1533-position model. The record is from RNAcentral.